UACAGAGGUACCAAGCGUUGUUCGGAUUCACUGGGCGUAAAGGGUGCGUAGGCGGUCGGGUAAGGCUGAUGUGAAAUCUCACAGCUUAACUGUGAAACUGCAUUGGAUACUAUUCGGCUCGAGGAAUGGAGGGGAGACUGGAAUACUUGGUGUAGCAGUGAAAUGCGUAGAUAUCAAGUGGAACACCAGUGGCGAAGGCGAGUCUCUGGACAUUUCCUGACGCUGAGGCACGAAAGCCAGGGGAGCAAACGGG
This 253-nucleotide ribosomal RNA is filed under the name uncultured bacterium. RNAcentral describes it as "partial 16S ribosomal RNA". It matches the Rfam family "Bacterial small subunit ribosomal RNA", at positions 524 to 776 of the family's 1533-position model. The record is from RNAcentral.